This 432-nucleotide long non-coding RNA is filed under the name Hordeum vulgare. Its description in RNAcentral is "long non-coding RNA (HVUL_LNC003972)". The record is from RNAcentral. Lineage: Eukaryota; Viridiplantae; Streptophyta; Magnoliopsida; Poales; Poaceae.
UAACGGUCAACGACAAAAACGGAGAGAACCGGCAACUAAUAACGAAUGCAAGUUUUGAAAACUGGCGCAACGGAGUGCCGAUGCAAUGCAGAUGAUGAAUGCAACAUACAAUCUAAUCGCACAACGGCAAUGGAAGAAGAGGAGAAUAUUCUGGAGCGUCGGUCUCGGGCUGUCACACCAGUUUUAGCAAUUAUGGCAAGUCAAGUACACCCUACACAUGCAGUUCUAAGAGUAUAUCAGUGGAAUGUAAAAGAUGCAAGUGUAAAGUAAAGGAGUAAGGUAGGGAUAUCAAACGCAUGAGGUUGACACGAUGAUUUUUGGCUUGUGGAGUUGAACAGAGAUGUUUGUAAAGGCAAGGAGAUUAUCUUUUGAACUUCCGUGAAAUAUAUUUGGAAAAACAUAUUAGUACAAUGAUGGAUAUGUUGUGAUCAA